Molecule: transfer RNA, 28 nt
Filed under: Praeteropus brevicollis (short-necked worm-skink)
Lineage: Eukaryota; Metazoa; Chordata; Lepidosauria; Squamata; Scincidae
Description: Anomalopus brevicollis (short-necked worm-skink) partial tRNA-Leu
Source: RNAcentral
UUUUAAAGGAUCCUAGUUUAAUCCAUUA